ACGCACGCUGGCGGCGUGCUUCACACAUGCAAGUCGAACGGAAAGGCCCUGCUUUUGUGGGGUGCUCGAGUGGCGAACGGGUGAGUAACACGUGAGUAACCUGCCCUUGACUUUGGGAUAACUUCAGGAAACUGGGGCUAAUACCGGAUAGGAGCUCCUGCUGCAUGGUGGGGGUUGGAAAGUUUCGGCGGUUGGGGAUGGACUCGCGGCUUAUCAGCUUGUUGGUGGGGUAGUGGCUUACCAAGGCUUUGACGGGUAGCCGGCCUGAGAGGGUGACCGGCCACAUUGGGACUGAGAUACGGUCCAGACUCCUACGGGAGGCAGCAGUGGGGAAUAUUGCACAAUGGGCGGAAGCCUGAUGCAGCAACGCCGCGUGCGGGAUGACGGCCUUCGGGUUGUAAACCGCUUUCGCCUGUGACGAAGCGUGAGUGACGGUAAUGGGUAAAGAAGCACCGGCUAACUACGUG
RNAcentral lists this ribosomal RNA (467 nucleotides) under uncultured bacterium. RNAcentral's name for it is "partial 16S ribosomal RNA". It matches the Rfam family "Bacterial small subunit ribosomal RNA", at positions 29 to 507 of the family's 1533-position model. The record is from RNAcentral.